CAGUCGCCGCGGGAAUACGAAGGGGGCUAGCGUUGCUCGGAAUGACUGGGCGUAAAGGGCGCGUAGGCGGAUGGCACAGUCAGAUGUGAAAUUCCCGGGCUCAACCUGGGGGCUGCAUUCGAUACGUGUUGUCUAGAGUGAGGAAGAGGGUUGUGGAAUUCCCAGUGUAGAGGUGAAAUUCGUAGAUAUUGGAAAGAACACCGGUGGCGAAGGCGGCGACCUGGCCUUUAACUGACGCUGAGGCGCGAAAGCGUGGGGAGCAAACAGGAUUAGAUACCCCCGUAGUCCCUGUCUCUUAUAC
This 301-nucleotide ribosomal RNA is filed under the name uncultured bacterium. Its description in RNAcentral is "partial 16S ribosomal RNA". It matches the Rfam family "Bacterial small subunit ribosomal RNA", at positions 509 to 807 of the family's 1533-position model. The record is from RNAcentral.